RNAcentral lists this ribosomal RNA (326 nucleotides) under uncultured bacterium. RNAcentral describes it as "bacterial SSU rRNA". It matches the Rfam family "Bacterial small subunit ribosomal RNA", at positions 9 to 337 of the family's 1533-position model. The record is from RNAcentral.
GAGUUUGAUCAUGGCUCAGAUUGAACGCUGGCGGCAGGCCUAACACAUGCAAGUCGAGCGGUAGAGAGAAGCUUGCUUCUCUUGAGAGCGGCGGACGGGUGAGUAAUGCCUAGGAAUCUGCCUGGUAGUGGGGGAUAACGCUCGGAAACGGACGCUAAUACCGCAUACGUCCUACGGGAGAAAGCAGGGGACCUUCGGGCCUUGCGCUAUCAGAUGAGCCUAGGUCGGAUUAGCUAGUUGGUGAGGUAAUGGCUCACCAAGGCGACGAUCCGUAACUGGUUUGAGAGGAUGAUCAGUCACACUGGAACUGAGACACGGUCCAGACU